Molecule: non-coding RNA, 27 nt
Filed under: Homo sapiens (human)
Lineage: Eukaryota; Metazoa; Chordata; Mammalia; Primates; Hominidae
Source: RNAcentral
CCCCAAGUACUCACAUAUGGAGUUUGU